UCAUACCUGCUUAUAUGGAAACGAUGUUAAUACUAGAAAUAGUUUAAAAUAGUUGAUAGUAAAAGCUUAUUGUGGAUUAAGGUAUUCAGCAGAAUUGAAUUGGGAAAAGCCAUGUGAGCAGGUUGAAGCCACACAUGCAGCGUACAUGAAGAAAAUACACUAGUUCGUUGAGGAAACUCUUAAAAACAGUUUCAUCGUAGAAAAGAAUAGAUGGAGAUACUAAGGGACUUAGGCACCUCAGCAGUGAAGCAUCAAAAGUAGCCCCAGUGUAAAUUUGUUGCGUGGUUUCUUCAAAACAGCUACGGCAUAGACAGGAACAAAACUAUUGAAACUCAGACUAAGUGAAGCAGUAAAUUGAGAUUCUUUUAUCAACUGAUCCAUCAUGUUCUAAAUAUCGAGAAGAUAACUCACUGACAAGUAGAAUCAAGACUGUAGAGCUGAUUUUAAAUGUAAAGCCAGGGAGGAGACCAUGGUCAAGGAACAUUUUCCAGAGAUUUCUUUCAUUUAUUCAUACAAUAUCACAACAGCUCACAACAAAUUUUAGUCCACGGGAUCAUGAUAGAACUGAAUAGUGAAGGCCAGUCCAUUCAGCUGACCCCGACUAUUUUGCCUCUGAGCCUUAGUUCAGUUAAGUUGUAUUUCUUUUAUGAUUCAAUCUUUGUUGUAUAAGUUAUGCUUCUAUAACAAGGUACUUCUUUUUGAUCCUCUAACAAGCUUCAGAAGACGUGAUAAUUUAAAAGAGAAACCAUUUUUUCUUUAUAA
This is a long non-coding RNA of Populus trichocarpa (black cottonwood), 762 nucleotides long. RefSeq lists it as uncharacterized. The record is from RefSeq and is a predicted model, not a curated record. The transcript is spliced from 2 exons. NCBI's taxonomy places the organism in Eukaryota, Viridiplantae, Streptophyta, Magnoliopsida, Malpighiales, Salicaceae.